UCCCUCUCUUUCUUUCUCUGUCUCCCAAGAGCACAUGUGCCCUAUAACAAAUUUUAAAAGAAGAAAAAAUAGCUGGUGUUCAACCCCCUUUUUUAUUUAGUGGGGUUACAGAAAUGUUAGUUGUUCUCCAGAAACCAUUCUUUCUCAAUUCAGAGCCUCUGGGAACACCUGGCCUCUCAGAAUAAGACAACCUUGUCUGAUCUCGGUUGCAACUAAGUGUAGUCAUGCAACUAAGUUCUAGUCAAUGAAAUAUCAGAAGCAUCAUAUGCAACUUCUGAAAAGUAGGUUAAAAAGAUGGAAUCACAUACCUUUACAUGUUUUCUCUGUAGUGUCACUUCUUCCUUUCUGGCUGGAAAGCAGAAAUGAUGUCUAGAGUAUGGAUUAUGAGGUUGCGUGCUAAAUAUGGUAACACCCCAAAUAGAUGGAACUUAAGUGUGUGACAGUGCUCUCACUCAGAACCUUGGAUGUGGAGUAAUCAAGGUCAGGAAGAAAGCAGUGAAGGGGUCAGCCCAGUACCUUGGUAGCUAAGGGAACCAGAUCCCAUGUGACUGACUGCAUAGUCCAACUCCUAGCCCUGGCAGCUUGAAAAACACUUCAGGUGCAUGUGCAUCCAUUCUCUAAAUCCCAACAGGAUGGCAAAAUGGAGAAGGGAUUGCAAUGUGGCUACACACCAUUGGGGGGGGCGCUUUUUCCCUCUUCCUCUCUGUGUCUCUCUGUCUCAUUUGGCAAGGUUAUGCACCCUCUAGCCACUUCUUCCUCCACAAAAGGAGCAGUCAGUAUUCCUAGACAGGAGCCACACAGCGCCCGGUCCUAGCAGUGGUGUCCUGUGAACUAAGUACUAAUUUCCUGGCUACUUUUUCUCUUCAAAAAUAGCUUUUGAGCUGCCAGCUUCUUUCAGUCAGCAACUGAAGUGGCCUGGGAAAGUAGUGUUGUUCAGUUAUUUUUAGGAUGGAAGACAGGCAUAUCCCUGGUCUAAAAGAAAGAAGAGUUCAAAGGAGGAGAGAUUGAAGAUGAAAAAGAAAUAAUGAGGGUACUUGAUGAAGCAAAGUUACACAGAAUGCUGGCAGUUAAAGGACUUUUUGUACAUGUGCACGUUUCUUGGGAUUCUUGCCACCACUUGCAAGAGAGACACUGUGAAAGACUGGGCUUCUGAAGGGAACACGGUUUCACUGCAAUGGAAACUUGGGCUUAAAUAUUAAUGGAACUCCAUCAGACUUGAAGACUCUUUAAAGCAAGUUCGUUUUGACCUCAAAUUAAACUUCUGACAGUCUCAUAGACUAUUCAGCAAA
This is a long non-coding RNA of Tupaia belangeri chinensis (Chinese tree shrew), 1289 nucleotides long. RefSeq lists it as uncharacterized. The record is from RefSeq and is a predicted model, not a curated record. The transcript has 2 exons. Lineage: Eukaryota; Metazoa; Chordata; Mammalia; Scandentia; Tupaiidae.